AAAAUUAUGUUCAACUCCUUCACUUCCGAUCGACGGCUUCAUCUCCAAAAGAAGCUUGGUAGUCUAAAACACACACAUACACACAUAUAUGAUGGAGAUAACGUCGAGCUUCGAUCACGAUAAUCGAAAUCCAAGGGCUUUGAUUGACAACAAACUUAUUGUUCGAGGCUUGUCGUUUUCAUAUCACAGGGUUCCUAAACAGCUUCUCAGGUUAUCAGUUCUGAAAUUAGACGGUUCUUCCUUUGGCAUCGAGGUUUCUAUGAAUGCUACCAUAGCAUAUCUUAAAUUCGUAUUAGAGGACUUUUUCACUUCUUGCCUAAGGAGAAGAGAUGCAUUCUUAUCUUCGAUUCGCUGUUGUUACUUGUUACAUAUACAUAUUUUGGUGCAAUUCACAUUAACACGCUAUAAUUUUUAACUUAUAAAAUCGUUUUUUCUUGAUUGCAAUCAACUCGUGUAAGCUUUUACGUUGAAUUUCCUUCCCUUGACCACAAAUCUAGGUCAAAACUGCAACUUUUUCCAACUAUGAAGAUCAUUCCUAAAAGCGAUACAUCAAACUAAACUGAAACUGAUUUCAGUGAAGGAAACAGUUAGACUUGAAAAUGGUUGGAUCAACGCAUGUGAAGACUGAUUUAGACUUCAAUUAUUUGUUGAAUUCUAAAAUUGUUAAUGAAUUAAUGCUAUUGAAAUUGUCUUCAAAUUUAUUAUUACAAUAUCUCAAGAAACUUCAUGAUAUUAGGUCACAUAUAUAGGGGCAUAUUUGUCUGUGCCAUAAAGGGCAAAAGCUGCAGAAUGAUAAAUGUGCUUUAAAUUUUUUUCAUUGAAAGCCGUGUUUCCUUUUUUCCUUGAAUUCCAAAACUACCCUUUUUAAAUGGAAUUUCAGUCACAUACAUUUUACUUUCCAUUUAAAAUUGAUUCAAUCAUUACAUAUGAAACUUUAUUUGGAAAGACAUGUUUAGUUCGUCGGUUUUGGCAAAUUCCGAUGAAAUCAGAAUACGAGAUCUCCUUUCAUGGCUGCAAAGUGGACAGACUUUAGUUCCCUUCUUACUAAAAGACCAAAAUACCCUCAACACUAUGCAUGAGCAAACGGACCGAACCGGCUGCAAACGGCCCGACCCACGAACCGGCUUCGGCCAAAAUCAAGAACUGAACCGGCCCGGCGGUUCUAUUGGUUCCGGUUCCGGGUCCGGUUUUUGACUGGUUUUUGAUUUUGGAACCGGACGUUGGUGAAUCAUUAGGUGGAGAUGCUGCAACCGGAAGAUGAGUACUUUUUGCAAUAGAAGCCCUUCUUAAUGACUACAGAAUGAGUGUUUCUGGUCAACAAUUUGUCAUACAGAGAAUUGGGACAUCAGGAAAAGGAAGUUCCACAUGGUGUGGUCUUUGGUGGGUUGAAAUGUAAAAAACAAAUGGUAAUAAUCAUUUACCUUAUGAAUAACAAGUGUCAAUUCCUUCACUUUUGCUACCAUUAAGAAGUCAUAUGACACAAAACUGAAGGAUGCAAAGAUUCUUAUUCCAAUAAUACCCUUCCUACCGAAAUAUGAGGUUCUCUUCCCUUCUUGCUAUAACAAGCUCUCUAAAAAUACAAUAAAAGCACUUAACAGUUACCAUAUCUUUUUCAUCUUCACCUGUUUCCCUUUUUAAAAAGUAAAUUUCCAACUUUUUUUAUUUAUUCAUACUUUUGAUCUUCUGGGAGAAAAAGAAAAGUUUCAAUUGGUUAAAUGAACCAUAUAUAUAUAUAUAUAUAUAUAUAUAUAUAUAUAUAUAUAUAUAUAUAUAUAUAUAGGUUUAGGUUCAUUUGAGACCAUUCUAAUUUUGUGAGACCGUGAGACCAAAUCUAAAAAUAAUUUUAAAAUGCAAAAAAAUGGAAAAAUCCAAAAAAAAAAAAUUUAAAUAUUAUUUUCGGAACUUGAAUUAACUAAAAAAAAUAUAAAAAAAAUAAAAAAAAAAUCCCGUUUUUUCUAAAAAAUAAUUUUAAAAUGCAAAAUAAAUGGAAAAAUCUAAAAAUUCUUUUUUUAAAAAUUAUUUUCGGAACUUGAAUUAAUAAAAAAAAAAUAAAAAAAAUCUAUUUUUUUUGAAAAAUACAUGAAAUAUUCUAAAUAGAAUAUUACACUGUACAUAUUCUAAAAAUAAUUUUAAAAUGCAAAAUAAAUGGAAAAAUCAAAAAAUUCUUUUUUUAAAUAUUAUUUUCGGAACUUGAAUUAACUAAAAAAAAAUAAAAAAAUGCGUCUCACGGUCUCACAAAAUUAGGCUGUCUCACAUGAACCUAACCCUAUAUAUAUAUAUAUAUAUAUAUAUAUAUAUAUAUAUAUAUAUAUAUAUAUAUAUAUAUAUAUAUAUAUAUAUAUUAAAAAAUUAUUACCUAAAUGGUUUUUAGAGCCUAAAGUUGGUUCAAACUCAAAUUAGCUCAAAAGAUAAAGAAUUCGGUUUGUUUAUUAUUUCAAAUUAAACAUGUCUAUAGUGAAGAGUAAAUGAUAUUUUUUUGAAUCUUUAUUAUAUUUCUUUGAGGGGUCCAUUUUUUUUUCUUUUCGCCCUGGGCCUGUAUAUGUUUGGACCAGCCUUGAAAUCUUCCAUCAGAUAUAAAUUCCAGGUUGCUCUUACACGUACCUUGGAGGUAACUUUUACCCACUAAUUAACUUUGUUAUUUUCAUUGUCAUUUGACCUAUAUGUUCAUGUUGUUGUAAUAGGAUAUAAUAAACAAGUAAGUUAAAGGUACACUGGUAUUUCCUGAUUUUAAUUUUAAUUCUAAUUUAUGAUCUGUUAUUAGAGGAAUCAUCUCAAGUUGGUCAAGGUUCAGUUCUUACUCCAAUUGAAGUAGUAAUUUGUAUUCAUGGCAUUGAUCCCGAGAAAGAUUGAAUUCCCUUAAAGAAGGCAUGUAUUUGUAUUCUUUAAUUUUUCUUUCCUCCUUUUGUCCCUUUUCCACACAUUAUUCAUCCAAAAAAGUAUUUUGUUUAAUUAUUUACCGGUUAUUUGCAUUUGAUAAAUAUUCUUUGAUGAAUUUAGAACACACUUUCGAAUUUGACA
This is a long non-coding RNA of Lactuca sativa (garden lettuce), 3018 nucleotides long. RefSeq lists it as uncharacterized. The record is from RefSeq and is a predicted model, not a curated record. NCBI's taxonomy places the organism in Eukaryota, Viridiplantae, Streptophyta, Magnoliopsida, Asterales, Asteraceae.